CACCCAUGAGGACUUGGGCUGACCAGGCUCUCCUGGUGCAAGCAAAGGUGCAAGCAGCCCUUCUUACCAGUUCCUGUGACUGAAGUCGAUUUGCUCCACCAUCAUGAUGAGGCUGCUGUGAUCCUGUUGCUACGAGGUGCCCACCCAACUGAGCUAGCACCCUUUGCACAGCCAGCAUUUCUGUCUCGCCCUGGCUGUGAACGCUGCAACCAUCACACGUUGUUGUGCUUCACACAGUCCCACUGAACUUCUGCCAGUGUCUCGUGGCAGCCGGCUGGAGUUCCUGCUGUCACUGGUGUGAUGCCACAGGGAGAUCACCUCCGGGUUUCCACUCAAGACAGGAAUCAAGUCGUUCUUACACUGCUAUGUUAUAUGAAGACGAGUGUACUUGGAUGUUAAUAACAGCUCAGCUCUGCAGAUGAAUGAUUAAAUGAAGAGACAAGAAAGCUUUGUGGCUUCUAUACCAGUGAACGGGUUGGAAGUAGCAGCAGAUGUUGAGUUUGAGCCCUGAGCAUUAUGCAGAGGGUGCUCAGCACCCUCUGAGCUUCUAUUGGCUGCACUGGAAAUGGAGAAGACUCAGCACAUCCCAGGAAAGCAAUCUGCUUGGGAUCAGCUCCAAGACAGCAGCCUGGUGUCACUUGGUACUGCCUCCAUGCUUGCUCUCACCCUGAGCCAGAACUUACAAUUGCCCCCAGGUUAAGGCUGAAGUCCCCCUGCCCAUUUUGUAUCCCCACAAAACCUCCUGCACUGGGGCUCCCAGUGGUGUUCCCCUGAGCUUCAUGGGAAGGACCAACCCACCCCACUCCUGUCCCUCACUGCAGCACUUUACAGCUUGCUUGAGACAGUGAGCUCUGAGAAAUGUGACCAAAGAUCUCUGGAAGGCAUUGGACUGUGUGCUUGGAGCUGACUCCCAGCCUUCCCAGGAAGGAAGAGACUGAUGUGGGCUGGGAAAGCAGAGAGCACAGGGUAGAAAGAGGGGUACUUCUCACAGUUCCUGGGCAAGGUGAUUGUCCCCACCUGGUGAGGCCAGUGUCCUCCUUGGGUAUGCCAAGUAGCUCCAUGUGUCACCCAGGGUGAGUAGGGAUUCAGGAGGCAGGAUGGAUCUGAUUCUCCUUUUUUCUUGAGCAGUAAAGAGUUAAUCUGUAAGGAUGCAUGCCAUGCCAUUACACUUGUCUUCAGAGCCACAGGUCUUCUCUAGUUCAGCCCGCUCAAUGUGAAUGGGCCAGGAAAAUGUCAGAGCCAGUGGUCCUUCUGACUGUCCCCUUGUCCCCUCCCCACAUCACCAGUGGGCAUCCUCAGCACCCGCCACGCCCCUGCACCAUGUCUCUGCCCCAUGGCUGUGCUGAGCUCUGCUCCAUUCCUGUCAGGAAUAACAGCCUGCUAAUGAUCAGUGGCAGGCCUUACUUCUGUCCUGGAUGGGAGCAUGUCCUUCUUGCCCUUACUAUAACUCAAUCUUUCAGUCACAGCCUUAAACGGCACUUUACAGAGUUACCUUUCACCAAGAUUCCCUCACUGAAGAUCUGCUCAGUGUUGCCUGUGUCCUGCUGCCCCUCUGCAUCAGCUCUCCAGGCUCCCCUGCCCAAUUUCAGUUCAUCAGUGUAACACUCUCCCAGGUGCACUCAGUGCCUCUCCCAGUGUUCUUCCCAGACACUUCCUCCACUAACAAGCAGGAGCUUACACUGAGAGCGGCUUGCCCUGACCCUGCCCUUAGAGGAGCUUUCUAGACUACUGAUUCUCACAUCUCCAUCAUUCCCAUGUCAGCUACAUCAGCCCUGUUUUAUCUCCAUGAGAGAUCUUGCUUCUUGCUGAAGGACAUCUCCAUGGCCUUUAAUCCCUUGAGAUCACUGCAUGGGGCUUCGCACCAUCACAACACUAAACCCAGCCAGCUGAGGCUUCCCCUGUCCUUCCACCCUUUGCAAAGGCAGGGGUGUAAGGGACAUACAAGUAACCUUGAUCACACAGCUCCCGUGCCACCGAGUCCCCAUGGGGGCAAUGAGACAUUGGGAUCACAUCCAGCAGUUGACAGAUGUCAGCUUCCCAAUCAGAUGUUCCACACUGGCAGCACAGCUGUCAGCAAAACAGAAAUGAGCCUCUGCACUUUCAGGAUAAGCCUCCUCCCAGAUUCUCUCCAUGAAGGGGGAUUGCAUCAGAUCUGGAUCCUGGGACAACCUCUGGCAAGUAUGGUUGUGUUUUCAGGGCUCCUCUACAGAUCUGUUUUCUAAGCAGAAAGUCUCUGCUUUCUGUCACAAAGCAAUAGGUAUUUUCUUGGGAGGUUUAAAAAGGACUCUUUCCAACUCUGAUACUUGUAACCCAGUGUUCUCUUGAAUACCAUCGUAACUCCAGUUCUGGGCUCUCCUUCAAAAAGCAAUGUGAGGCCAGGUCUGGCUCCAUAGAAUCACAAAACGUAUGAGCCUGGUGGUCCCCAUUCCUCCAGAGAGCCCAUGUCCAGCAGGCAAUCAGUGUGGGUCCCUGGGAUGUGUGGUCCAUCCUCCUUUGGUGACUGUUACUGGGUGCCUGCAGCCAGUCAGCUCACUGCAGAUCACUGACAUGGGAGCCACUGGGUCCCCAGAAGUGUCUGAGCCCAAAGUCAUAUUUGAUGACAGCCAGACACCAAUGGGAAACAGGGCUUUCGCAUUCCUGGGAGCCAGGCUGUCCUAGGAACUCUCUCAGAGAAGAAGAUGCCCAUGGUGGCACACGGGUUCCCUUCCAGUGGCUGAAGGGAGCAAACAUGUCCAGGUAGAGCUUGGACACCGGUGCAAAAACGCACUGCCACCGGUGCCAAAAUGCUGCACAACUGGCCAAUGAGUCUAUGCAGUCCUUUCCCACACAGCAGUGUCCCUGCAGAGCCCAGCCCAAGGAGGCUGGGUCUCCUCCAAGGUGUCUUUGUUUGCACUCAUGUGGACCCGAUAUAUGCUGUGAGCUGAGAGGUGGCCCCUCAGGACUCACUCUUAGCCUUCACCUUGCACAGGGCAGUAUGGUUGCGAGGGUUUCCUCAUCCAAAAUAGAUGCAUAUUCGUAGUCACCGGUUUCCGUGUCUCUUCUCUAGGAGAACAGGCCCCUAAAACCCAGCUCCCUGAUAGUGGGAUGUCAGGUUGGGUGAGCCUGUGCCCCAAGCAAGCCUGUUGUCUGAUCUCACCAGCAAUAAAAGCCCCGGGGGGGAGCAGCCAGAGCUUUCCAGGCUGUGUGUGUGUGUGUAGGAUCUCUGCAUCAGACCCUUUGUCCAACGUUUUGGACCUGCCUGACUGUAAAUUCAACCCCAGCCUUGUGCUUCCCUUCCUCUGUUUGUUUCUCGAAGCCUCGAUUUCUCUCUGCUCUUACUGUGAAUUCAAACCAGAAGUGUUCUGAACUCGACUCUGUUACUGUUUGUUCUGCGUUGACUGUUGCUGGUUCUCUGAACUGCGUUUAAGGAGACUUUGCAAAAAAGAAAAAAAAAAAGAAAAAAAAAGAAAAAGGAAAAGAAAAAAAA
This 3466-nucleotide long non-coding RNA is filed under the name Gallus gallus (chicken). RNAcentral describes it as "lncRNA (ENSGALG00010018773.1)". The record is from RNAcentral. Lineage: Eukaryota; Metazoa; Chordata; Aves; Galliformes; Phasianidae.